RNAcentral lists this ribosomal RNA (322 nucleotides) under uncultured eukaryote. RNAcentral's name for it is "partial 18S ribosomal RNA". It matches the Rfam family "Eukaryotic small subunit ribosomal RNA", at positions 1470 to 1796 of the family's 1831-position model. The record is from RNAcentral.
CCCUUAGAUGUCCUGGGCCGCACGCGCGCUACACUGAUGCAUUCAACGAGCUUUACCUUGGCCGAGAGGCCUGGGCAAUCUUUUAAACCUGCAUCGUGAUAGGGAUAGAUUAUUGCAAUUAUUAAUCUUGAACGAGGAAUUCCUAGUAAACGCAAAUCAUCAAUUUGCAUUGAUUACGUCCCUGCCCUUUGUACACACCGCCCGUCGCUCCUACCGAUUGGAUGAUCCGGUGAGCUCUUCGGACUGCGCGGUCUGCAGUUUCUGCGUUCCGUGCGGAAAGUUGCGCAAACCUUAACAUUUAGAGGAAGGAGAAGUCAUAACA